This 364-nucleotide ribosomal RNA is filed under the name uncultured Sphingobacteriales bacterium. Its description in RNAcentral is "bacterial SSU rRNA". It matches the Rfam family "Bacterial small subunit ribosomal RNA", at positions 1020 to 1382 of the family's 1533-position model. Lineage: Bacteria; Pseudomonadati; Bacteroidota; Sphingobacteriia; Sphingobacteriales. The record is from RNAcentral.
CUUCGGACAAUAUACAAGGUGCUGCAUGGUUGUCGUCAGCUCGUGCCGUGAGGUGUCGGGUUAAGUCCCAUAACGAGCGCAACCCUAUCAUUAGUUGCCAUCAGGUCAAGCUGGGGACUCGUAAUGAAACUGCCUACGCAAGUAGUGAGGAAGGUGGGGAUGACGUCAAAUCAGCACGGCCCUUACGUCCAGGGCUACACACGUGCUACAAUGGCCGGUACAAAGGGCAGCUACCUGGUGACAGGAUGCUAAUACUCAAAAGCCGGUCUCAGUUCGGAUCGGAGUCUGCAACCCGACUCCGUGAAGCUGGAAUCGCUAGUAAUCGCGCAUCAGCCAUGGCGCGGUGAAUACGUUCCCGGGCCUU